GACGAACGCUGGCGGCGUGCUUAACACAUGCAAGUCGAGCGAGGCCCUUCCUUCGGGGAGGUGUCCUAGCGGCGAACGGGUGAGUAACACGUGGGCAACCUGCCCUCAGCUCUGGGAUAACUCCGGGAAACCGGGGCUAAUACCGGAUAUGACCACUCUGGGCAUCUUGGGUGGUGGAAAGUUUUUCGGCUGAGGAUGGGCCCGCGGCCUAUCAGCUUGUUGGUGGGGUGAUGGCCUACCAAGGCGACGACGGGUAGCCGGCCUGAGAGGGUGACCGGCCACACUGGGACUGAGACACGGCCCAGACUCCUACGGGAGGCAGCAGUGGGGAAUAUUGCGCAAUGGGCGGAAGCCUGACGCAGCGACGCCGCGUGAGGGACGAAGGCCUUCGGGUUGUAAACCUCUUUCAGCAGGGACGAAGCGCAAGUGACGGUACCUGCAGAAGAAGCACCGGCCAACUACGCGCCAGCAGCCGCGGUAAUACGUAGGGUGCAAGCGUUGUCCGGAAUUAUUGGGCGUAAAGAGCUCGUAGGCGGUCUGUUGCGUCGGCUGUGAAACCCCGAGGCUCAACCUCGGGCCUGCAGCCGAUACGGGCAGACUAGAGUUCGGCAGGGGAGACUGGAAUUCCUGGUGUAGCGGUGAAAUGCGCAGAUAUCAGGAGGAACACCGGUGACGAAGGCGGGUCUCUGGGCCGAUACUGACGCUGAGGAGCGAAAGCGUGGGGAGCGAACAGGAUUAGAUACCCUGGUAGUCCACGCCGUAAACGUUGGGCGCUAGGUGUGGGUUCCCUUCCACGGGGAUCCGUGCCGCAGCUAACGCAUUAAGCGCCCCGCCUGGGGAGUACGGCCGCAAGGCUAAAACUCAAAGGAAUUGACGGGGGCCCGCACAAGCGGCGGAGCAUGUGGCUUAAUUCGAGGCAACGCGAAGAACCUUACCUGGGUUUGACAUGCAGGGAAAUCUCCCAGAGAUGGGAGGUCCGCAAGGGCCUUGCACAGGUGGUGCAUGGCUGCCGUCAGCUCGUGUCGUGAGAUGUUGGGUUAAGUCCCGCAACGAGCGCAACCCUCGUCCUAUGUUGCCAGCACGUCAUGGUGGGGACUCAUAGGAGACUGCCGGGGUCAACUCGGAGGAAGGUGGGGAUGACGUCAAGUCAUCAUGCCCCUUAUGUCCAGGGCUGCACACAUGCUACAAUGGCCGGUACAAAGGGCUGCUAAGCCGCAAGGUGGAGCGAAUCCCAAAAAGCCGGUCUCAGUUCGGAUCGGGGUCUGCAACUCGACCCCGUGAAGUCGGAGUCGCUAGUAAUCGCAGAUCAGCAACGCUGCGGUGAAUACGUUCCCGGGCCU
Molecule: ribosomal RNA, 1340 nt
Filed under: uncultured bacterium
Lineage: Bacteria
Description: bacterial SSU rRNA
Rfam family: Bacterial small subunit ribosomal RNA
Source: RNAcentral